This 68-nucleotide transfer RNA is filed under the name Monochamus saltuarius. RNAcentral describes it as "tRNA-Trp". The record is from RNAcentral. Lineage: Eukaryota; Metazoa; Arthropoda; Insecta; Coleoptera; Cerambycidae.
AAGGAUUUAAGUUAAAUAAACUAUUAACCUUCAAAGUUGACAAUGAGGAAAAAAUUUCUUAAGCCUUA